This is a long non-coding RNA of Amphimedon queenslandica, 648 nucleotides long. RefSeq lists it as uncharacterized. Lineage: Eukaryota; Metazoa; Porifera; Demospongiae; Haplosclerida; Niphatidae. The transcript has 3 exons. The record is from RefSeq and is a predicted model, not a curated record.
GGGCAGAGUCAGCAUUCUACUGGAUCUGGUGGUGUCUGCCAUGAAACCUCUGCAAUUCUGAAACCAUUCAAGUGUAUAGAAUAGCAGACAUGCAAAGCAUCACCAAGGCAACUCCAUCAACAACCCUUCCAUCAACACACGUAGCCUCGUUUAAUUGAGACAACAUCCAUUAGCCGCUGAUUCUGUUUAUCCUUCGAAUGACAAUGAACUGUCGGGGACCGAAGACACAUCAACCCAAACAGCUGGUCCAACAGCCUAGACUGAGACUCACUGGCGUAGGCCAAACAGAGAACCUAACCCAUAAAUGACACCUGCUUAUAAUAAUACUAAUCAAGCUCUUCUUCACUUGGCCUUGGGCUGGUGCCUUUGAUGCACCCACACACUAUGACCAUAAACUAGUAAAAGCACAGCUCCCCUGUGCUGUACUGGAAAUACAGCACAGGGGGACCGUCCUUUUACUAAUACUCAUUAAUUUUGUAUGUUCUAUAAUGCUAACAGGACUAUGGCUUUGCAAUUUGUAUACAUACCCUAGUAUCAAUGCUACUACACAUAAUAAUAAUAAUGGAAUACUAUCCAUGUACUAACAUUGUAUGUUCAUUCAUAAUAAUAUGUCAUUAAAAUUGUAUCAUAUACUAGUUUUUAAUCGUU